AAAACGACUCUCGGCAACGGAUAUCUCGGCUCUCGCAUCGAUGAAGAACGUAGCGAAAUGCGAUACUUGGUGUGAAUUGCAGAAUCCCGUGAACCAUCGAGUUUUUGAACGCAAGUUGCGCCCAAAGCUGUUAGGCUAAGGGCACGUCUGCCUGGGBGUCACGCAUCACGUCGCCC
This 176-nucleotide ribosomal RNA is filed under the name Ilex spicata. Its description in RNAcentral is "5.8S ribosomal RNA". The stretch from base 6 to 161 matches the Rfam family "5.8S ribosomal RNA". Rfam says of the family: 5.8S ribosomal RNA (5.8S rRNA) is a component of the large subunit of the eukaryotic ribosome. It is transcribed by RNA polymerase I as part of the 45S precursor that also contains 18S and 28S rRNA. Lineage: Eukaryota; Viridiplantae; Streptophyta; Magnoliopsida; Aquifoliales; Aquifoliaceae. The record is from RNAcentral.